GCACAACGCGAAGAACCUUACCAGAACUUGACAUCGUCUGCAUUACCCGUAACUGGGGAAAUCCUUCGGGACAGAUAGACAGGUGGUGCAUGGUUGUCGUCAGCUCGUGUCGUGAGAUGUUGGGUUAAGUCCCGCAACGAGCGCAACCCCUAUUGUUAGUUGCCAUCAUUAAGUUGGGCACUCCAAUGAGACUGCCGGAGACAAUUCGGAGGAAGGUGGGGAUGACGUCAAAUCAUCAUGCCCCUUAUGUUCUGGGCUACACACGUGCUACAAUGGGUAUAACAACGGGAUGCAAGCUAGUGAUAGCAAGCCAAACCCCUAAAACGUACCCUCAGUUCAGAUUGUAGGCUGAAACCCGCCUACAUGAAGUCGGAGUUGCUAGUAAUCGCGAAUCAGCAUGUCGCGGUGAAUACGUUCCCGGGUC
This 424-nucleotide ribosomal RNA is filed under the name uncultured bacterium. RNAcentral describes it as "bacterial SSU rRNA". It matches the Rfam family "Bacterial small subunit ribosomal RNA", at positions 954 to 1380 of the family's 1533-position model. The record is from RNAcentral.